Molecule: ribosomal RNA, 500 nt
Filed under: uncultured bacterium
Lineage: Bacteria
Description: partial 16S ribosomal RNA
Rfam family: Bacterial small subunit ribosomal RNA
Source: RNAcentral
AUUGAACGCUGGCGGCAGGCCUAACACAUGCAAGUCGAGCGGAUGAGAGGAGCUUGCUCCUCGAUUCAGCGGCGGACGGGUGAGUAAUGCCUAGGAAUCUGCCCAGUAGUGGGGGACAACGUUUCGAAAGGAACGCUAAUACCGCAUACGUCCUACGGGAGAAAGUGGGGGAUCUUCGGACCUCACGCUAGUGGAUGAGCCUAGGUCGGAUUAGCUAGUUGGUAGGGUAAAGGCCUACCAAGGCGACGAUCCGUAACUGGUCUGAGAGGAUGAUCAGUCACACUGGAACUUAGACACGGUCCAGACUCCUACGGGAGGCAGCAGUGGGGAAUAUUGGACAAUGGGCGCAAGCCUGAUCCAGCCAUGCCGCGUGUGUGAAGAAGGCCCUCGGGUCGUAAAGCACUUUAAGUUGGGAGGAAGGGCUUACAGCGAAUACCUGUGAGUUUUGACGUUACCGACAGAAUAAGCACCGGCUAACUUCGUGCCAGCAGCCGCGGUAA